AAAAAAUCAUUGAUAGGGACUAGUAAGUAAAAUGGCUAGCUAGAGAGAGCUGAUGGUUGGUGAAAAUCAGUGCAGUUAUUUACUGAAUCUACCCUUGAGAGACUGGUUAAGCCAGUACGGUAAAAGACCGUUAUUUCUUUUGAGCUGAUAUCAAAAAGUAAAUUGAUAUAAUUAGGGUGGCAACGCGGGUUAAUCUCGUCCCUUCU
Molecule: non-coding RNA, 206 nt
Filed under: Bacillus sp. (in: firmicutes)
Lineage: Bacteria; Bacillati; Bacillota; Bacilli; Caryophanales; Bacillaceae
Description: Bacillus sp. T-box sequence
Rfam family: T-box leader
About the family: Uncharged tRNA acts as the effector for transcription antitermination of genes in the T-box leader family. T-boxes are found upstream of many aminoacyl-tRNA synthetase genes and some amino acid biosynthetic genes usually in Gram-positive bacteria. The anticodon of a specific tRNA base pairs to a specifier sequence within the T-box motif, and the NCCA acceptor tail of the tRNA base pairs to a conserved bulge in the T-box antiterminator hairpin.
Source: RNAcentral